This 588-nucleotide ribosomal RNA is filed under the name uncultured eukaryote. Its description in RNAcentral is "SSU rRNA". It matches the Rfam family "Eukaryotic small subunit ribosomal RNA", at positions 1189 to 1820 of the family's 1831-position model. The record is from RNAcentral.
CUUAAUUUGACUCAACACGGGAAACUCACCAGGUCCGACCAUGUAAGGGAUGACAGAUUGAGAGUCUUUCAUGAUUCUAUGGGUGGUGGUGCAUGGCCGUUCUUAGUGGUGGAGUGAUUGUCCUGGUAAUUCCGUAAACGAACGAGACCUUAACCUGCUAAAUAGGUGCGCUAGCGCAAGCUAGUGGUACGUUCUAGAGGGGACAAACCACGGUUAGUGGUUGGAAGUUGAGGCAAUAACAGGUCUGUGACGCCCUUAGAUGUUCUGGGCCGCACGCGCGCUACACUGACACAGUCAGCGAGUGGAGCCUGACCGAGAGGUCUGGGAAAUCUUGUGAAACUGUGUCGUGCUGGGGAUAGACCAUUGCAAUUAUUGGUCUUCAACGAGGAAUUCCUAGUAAGCGCAAGUCAUCAGCUUGCGUUGAUUACGUCCCUGCCCUUUGUACACACCGCCCGUCGUUACUACCGAUUGAAUGGCUUAGUGAGGCCUCCGGAUUGUGCCCGCGCUAGUGGGUGUGAGAAGCUGGUCAAACUUGGUCAUUUAGAGGAAGUACAAGUCGUAACAAGGUUUCCGUAGGUGAACCUGCAG